GCCCGCUUAGCUCAGCGGUUAGAGCAUCUGGCUGUUAACCAGAGGGUCGCAGGUUCGAAUCCUGCAGCGGGCGCAA
RNAcentral lists this transfer RNA (76 nucleotides) under Bacteroidota bacterium. RNAcentral's name for it is "Bacteroidetes bacterium tRNA-Asn". It matches the Rfam family "tRNA". Rfam says of the family: Transfer RNA (tRNA) molecules are approximately 80 nucleotides in length. Their secondary structure includes four short double-helical elements and three loops (D, anti-codon, and T loops). The record is from RNAcentral. Lineage: Bacteria; Pseudomonadati; Bacteroidota.